Molecule: long non-coding RNA, 739 nt
Organism: Phyllostomus discolor (pale spear-nosed bat)
Lineage: Eukaryota; Metazoa; Chordata; Mammalia; Chiroptera; Phyllostomidae
Exons: 2
Source: RefSeq, a predicted model, not a curated record
CCCCAUGGUCACAUGCCCGGCACCCAGGGUGCUCAGGAAGGACUGACUGAUAGCUCGUUUUUCCAGGCCCAGCUUGGGGUCAAGCAGCAACAGCUUGCUCUCCCACAGUCCCAGAAGGAUGGAGGAUGGGAGGGAAGAUUAUGUACACACGCACGUGGGGGUCCCAGGCCCUCUGCCUCUGUGAGUCCAAGGAGGACCAUGCAGUCAAGCUCUCAGCUGCCUCCUCAUCCCGCCAAGUGGGUUAAGGAAUGUCUUCGGAGAGCAGCUGUGAUGGCUGGAAUUCUGGCUGCUAUGUUGGACCAUGAGGACAAGCUGGUGGAGCAGUGAGUUUGAAGGAGCCUAGGUCUCUGAUGACUGCAUAAAACCUUCAUACGAGCUUUGGACUGCCUUGUCAGGACUUUUGAGAGUGACAGACCCUUUGAUUUUGUUUAGUGGGAUCUUUUAUUCAAAGCCAAGCCUGAACCUAGCUGAGACAGCCCAAAAGAUGGAAAGAUAGAUGAAGAUAGAACACUCCCGCAGCCAGAGAGAAUAUCUUACUUCUGGUGGCAAUGAGAAAGGGCCUGUUCAUACCAUGGACAACUUUGACCUUGGGAAAUCUUCCUUUUGAAUGCUGGGUACAGCUCUAUUCUGGGCCCAAGGGGACAUAUUAUAGGUGUUUCCAGGGAAGGAUGGGCCUGACAAGGCUAAAGUGUGCUGAAUGUGGACAGUGAUUCUACCCGACCAAGUCUGGAACAGGGGG